GAAGGGUGCAAGCGUUACUCGGAAUUACUGGGCGUAAAGCGUGCGUAGGUGGUUCGUUAAGUCUGUCGUGAAAGCCCCGGGCUCAACCUGGGAAUGGCGAUGGAUACUGGCGGGCUAGAGUGCGGUAGAGGAGAGUGGAAUUCCCGGUGUAGCAGUGAAAUGCGUAGAGAUCGGGAGGAACAUCAGUUGCGAAGGCGGCUCUCUGGACCAGCACUGACACUGGGGCACGAAAGCGUGGGGAGCAAACAGGAUUAGAUACCCUGGUAGUCCACGCCCUAAACGAUGCGAACUGGACGUUGGGAGCAACUAGGCUCUCAGUGUCGAAGCUAACGCGUUAAGUUCGCCGCCUGGGGAGUACGGUCGCAAGACUG
RNAcentral lists this ribosomal RNA (371 nucleotides) under uncultured bacterium. RNAcentral's name for it is "bacterial SSU rRNA". It matches the Rfam family "Bacterial small subunit ribosomal RNA", at positions 527 to 896 of the family's 1533-position model. The record is from RNAcentral.